GAUCAAGAAGACAAAAAUUAGAAUAAAUUGUCCUUUGUGAAUUACGGUUUAUAGGAAGAAGAAAAAAUUUUUUAUUCUCAAAAAAAAAACAUCUAGGCUUAGUUAGAAUUAAGGUUUUAUUCUAUUUAGAAAAUAAAUUUAAAAAAAACGAAUUAGAAAAAACAGAGUUUAGAAGUGAAAUGUUUGCGGGUUUUUUUUGUUAGUUUUUGAAGUUUAAAAUAAGAGUUGAAGCUUUUAUUUAGAAGAAUAAUAAAAAUAAAAUUUCAUUUUGUGAUAUUAAUAAAAACUAAAAUAGAUAAAAAAUAAAAUUUCAUAUUGAUUGAGUAAUUUUAAUAAAAGUUGUUUAUUCUGUGAAUAAUAGAAUAAAAUUUAAAUCAAAAUUUAAAGUAGGAUAAAAUAUAAUGUAGACUAUAUUUAGAAAUUAUAAAAUAAGUAUAUAAAAUUUUUAUAAAGAAUUCAAUUGGCUAUCCUACUGUUUAUUAAAAACAUUUUCUUUUUUUUAAAAGAUAGCCUCUGCUCAAUGAAUUUUCUUAAAAAUAACAAAUGUUUAAAUUGCCGCAGUAUUUUGACUGUGCGAAGGUAGCAUAAUUAUUUGUCCAUUAAAUAUGGAAUCGUUUGAAAGAGAGUUGUGAGAUAGUAUUUGUUUUAUAGAGUACAAUAGUUUAGAAAUUAAAUAAAGAGUGAAGAUUCUCUUUGUUUUUAAAACAAGUAAUUAAGACGAAAAGACCCUACAGAGUUUUUAUUUUAAAAAAUAUUGAAAGUUAAAGUUUUAAAUGGGGAAUUAGAAAAUAGAAUAAAAUAUAUUUUUUUAUAUUAUAAAGAAAACUUCCUUAGGGAUAACAGGGUGAUAGUAUUUUAGAGUUCGUAUCAAAGAUACUGUUUACUACCUCGAUGUUGAAUCAAAAUAAAAUUUAGGUGUAGGUGUUUAAAAUUUUAGUCUGUUCGACUAUUAAAAUUUUUCGUGAUUUGAGUUUAGACCGAUGUAAAUCAGGUUGGUUUUUAUCUAAUAUGAUAAAGUGUUGUACGAAAGGACUCAUUUUUAUUUAAAA
This 1049-nucleotide ribosomal RNA is filed under the name Bipalium admarginatum. RNAcentral describes it as "16S ribosomal RNA". The stretch from base 836 to 994 matches the Rfam family "Archaeal large subunit ribosomal RNA", at positions 2542 to 2701 of the family's 2987-position model. The record is from RNAcentral. Lineage: Eukaryota; Metazoa; Platyhelminthes; Tricladida; Geoplanidae.